UACGGAGGAUGCAAGCGUUAUCCGGAAUGAUUGGGCGUAAAGGGUCCGCAGGUGGCAUUGUAAGUCUGCUGUCAAAGAAUGAGGCUUAACCUCAUCAAGGCAGUGGAAACUACACAGCUAGAGUACGGUCGGGGUAGAAGGAAUUCCUGGUGUAGCGGUGAAAUGCGUAGAGAUCAGGAAGAACACCGGUGGCGAAAGCGUUCUGCUAGACCUGUACUGACACUGAGGUGCGAAAGCGUGGGGAGCAAACAGG
This 253-nucleotide ribosomal RNA is filed under the name uncultured bacterium. RNAcentral's name for it is "partial 16S ribosomal RNA". It matches the Rfam family "Bacterial small subunit ribosomal RNA", at positions 524 to 776 of the family's 1533-position model. The record is from RNAcentral.